This 491-nucleotide ribosomal RNA is filed under the name uncultured bacterium. RNAcentral's name for it is "bacterial SSU rRNA". It matches the Rfam family "Bacterial small subunit ribosomal RNA", at positions 28 to 507 of the family's 1533-position model. The record is from RNAcentral.
GAUGAACGCUAGCGACAGGCCUAACACAUGCAAGUCGAGGGGCAGCACAUAAGGUAGCAAUACGUUUUGGUGGCGACCGGCGCACGGGUGAGUAACACGUAUGCAAUCUACCUGUAAGCGGGGAAUAACCCGGAGAAAUUCGGACUAAUACCGCAUAAUACCACGAAUUCGCAUGAAUUUGUGUGUUAAACAUUUAUGGCUUACAGAUGAGCAUGCGUAUGAUUAGAUAGUUGGUAGGGUAACGGCCUACCAAGUCUGCGAUCAUUAGGGGUUCUGAGAGGAAGGUCCCCCACACUGGUACUGAGACACGGACCAGACUCCUACGGGAGGCAGCAGUGAGGAAUAUUGGUCAAUGGGCGAGAGCCUGAACCAGCCAAGUCGCGUGAAGGAAGAAGGUUCUAUGGAUUGUAAACUUCUUUUGUAAGGGAAUAAAGUACGGCACGUGUGCUGUUUUGUAUGUACCUUACGAAUAAGGAUCGGCUAACUCCGUG